This 75-nucleotide transfer RNA is filed under the name Gimesia aquarii. RNAcentral's name for it is "Planctomycetes bacterium V144 tRNA-Cys". It matches the Rfam family "tRNA". From Rfam's summary of the family: Transfer RNA (tRNA) molecules are approximately 80 nucleotides in length. Their secondary structure includes four short double-helical elements and three loops (D, anti-codon, and T loops). Further hydrogen bonds mediate the characteristic L-shaped molecular structure. tRNAs have two regions of fundamental functional importance: the anti-codon, which is responsible for specific mRNA codon recognition, and the 3' end, to which the tRNAs corresponding amino acid is attached (by aminoacyl-tRNA synthetases). tRNAs cope with the degeneracy of the genetic code in two manners: having more than one tRNA (with a specific anti-codon) for a particular amino acid; and 'wobble' base-pairing, i.e. permitting non-standard base-pairing at the 3rd anti-codon position. The record is from RNAcentral. Lineage: Bacteria; Pseudomonadati; Planctomycetota; Planctomycetia; Planctomycetales; Planctomycetaceae.
GGCGCCGUAGCCAAGUGGUCCAAGGCGGCGGAUUGCAAAUCCGUUAUUCCCCGGUUCGAAUCCGGGCGGCGCCUC